This is a regulatory RNA element of Prevotella sp. CAG:924, 100 nucleotides long. It matches the Rfam family "TPP riboswitch aptamer (THI element)". Rfam says of the family: Vitamin B(1) in its active form thiamin pyrophosphate (TPP) is an essential coenzyme that is synthesised by coupling of pyrimidine and thiazole moieties in bacteria. The previously detected thiamin-regulatory element, thi box was extended, resulting in a new, highly conserved RNA secondary structure, the THI element, which is widely distributed in eubacteria and also occurs in some archaea. Analysis of operon structures identified a large number of new candidate thiamin-regulated genes, mostly transporters, in various prokaryotic organisms. Lineage: Bacteria; Pseudomonadati; Bacteroidota; Bacteroidia; Bacteroidales; Prevotellaceae. The record is from Rfam.
AUUGUGGAUCAGGGGUGCUGCACUAUGUGGUGUGGCUGAGAUGAUACCCUUCGAACCUGAAGCGGAUAAUGCCGACGCAGGGACACCGAAGAUAUUAUUC